Molecule: non-coding RNA, 27 nt
Filed under: Bombyx mori (domestic silkworm)
Lineage: Eukaryota; Metazoa; Arthropoda; Insecta; Lepidoptera; Bombycidae
Source: RNAcentral
UGCCACACCGCCACAGGCUGCCAUACC